GGGGAAUAUUGCACAAUGGAGGAAACUCUGACGCAGCGACGCCGCGUGAGUGAAGAAGUAAUUCGUUAUGUAAAGCUCUAUCAGCAGGGAAGAUAGUGACGGUACCUGACUAAGAAGCUCCGGCUAAAUACGUGCCAGCAGCCGCGGUAAUACGUAUGGAGCAAGCGUUAUCCGGAUUUACUGGGUGUAAAGGGAGUGUAGGUGGCCAUGCAAGUCAGAAGUGAAAAUCCGGGGCUCAACCCCGGAACUGCUUUUGAAACUGUAAGGCUAGAGUGCAGGAGGGGUGAGUGGAAUUCCUAGUGUGGCGGUGAAAUGCGUAGAUAUUAGGAGGAACACCAGUGGCGAAGGCGGCUCACUGGACUGUAACUGACACUGAGGCUCGAAAGCGUGGGGAGCAAAC
RNAcentral lists this ribosomal RNA (400 nucleotides) under uncultured bacterium. Its description in RNAcentral is "bacterial SSU rRNA". It matches the Rfam family "Bacterial small subunit ribosomal RNA", at positions 356 to 773 of the family's 1533-position model. The record is from RNAcentral.